GUGCUGGGGAUUGAACCCAGGACUUUGUGGAUGCAAGGCAAGCACUCUACUAACUGAGCUAUGUCCCCAGAAAGCAGGCUCCAAUAUCUCUCAUUCUCCUGCCUGAGGACUCUAUUAUUGGGAAGCAUUUUCCCCCUCCACAGUUCUGGGGAUUGAACCUAGGGCCUCAUUUGUGCUAGUCAAGCACUCUACUGUUGAGGUAUACCUCAGAGCCUGGAAUAAGAUUUCAAAGUAGCUUUUGUGCUGAUACAGUAGUACACACCCGUAAUCCCAGCUGCUCAGGAGGCUGAAGCAGGAGAAUUGUCAGUUUAAGACCAGUCUCACAAACUUAGCAAGAAAAAGGACUGGGAUGUUGCUCAGUGGUUAAGCACACCUGGGUUCAAUCCCUGGUAAACCUCCCCCCACAAAAAAAGUACAUUGUUUAGGAGCCGGAGCUGCAGCUCAGUGGUAGAGUGCUUACCUCGCAUGUGUGAGGCACUGAGUUCGAUCCUUGGCACCACAUAAAAAUAAAUAAAAAAGAUUCUUUUUAAGAAAAGUACAUUGUUGAGUGGUUUGACCCCAUACUCGGUGGGACAGAGACAAGCAAUGCUCAUGCUCUGGGAGUGGUCUCUAAUUCCUCAUGUUAGCCUACAUGUGCACAGAUUAUAAAGCUUUGUUUCUCUCAUUAGGAUUCUCAAUAAAUCAUUGCAGCAACCCUGUGAGUAGUAGAAAAAGAAAUGAAGAUUCAUUUUCUUCAUCUGGCUUGGUCAGGAUCCAUAGCUGAGUGACACUGCACACCCAUGUUUGCUUUUGAACCUAAGCAGAGCUUGCUUCUGUCUCUGUUAUCCCUCAGACAGGACUUAAGUGACACUGGCUUUACCUCACAUCCAACACUGCUCUUCUCCACUCAUUUAUGCCUUUGCUAUGUUCUUGUGGUUGCCUGGCACCCCGUCAAGAUUGUCCCUCCCCCAGCUAUAGGUGUAAAAUAAGUUCCCAUUCAUUAAACAUGUGUGUGUGUGUGUGUGUGUGUGUGUGUGUGUGAAUAGAUAAACACUAUAGUAUUGAAAAGUAUUAAUGAAAACUAGCAAAAUUCAAAUUGCUGUUUAAGCCCUGGUCAUUCAUUCAAAAUGUAUUGAUCAAAUAUAUACAAUGUACCCAGCAUUGCUUUAGACUUCCAGGAUAAAGUUUCCUAUUCACUUGCAGUUUAUAUUCUAGUAUGAGACCAUGAAAUAAACAAAAUUUUCAAAGA
Molecule: long non-coding RNA, 1228 nt
Filed under: Marmota monax (woodchuck)
Lineage: Eukaryota; Metazoa; Chordata; Mammalia; Rodentia; Sciuridae
Source: RNAcentral